Molecule: long non-coding RNA, 852 nt
Organism: Nerophis ophidion (straightnose pipefish)
Lineage: Eukaryota; Metazoa; Chordata; Actinopteri; Syngnathiformes; Syngnathidae
Exons: 3
Source: RefSeq, a predicted model, not a curated record
CACACGGACGGGCCAGAGGAAGCACGAACAAUACGAAGAUUGCACGAAAGAGCAAAAUAAAACCUGACAGCCGGACUCUGCAGUCUUUAUAUUGGUCCGAAAAGAACCCACAAGGGAAAGUCUUCCACAGAGUAGUUGCCAGAAAAAAAGCGGGACAAAUUAGACCCUGAUGCUGGGAGCUGCAGCAACAGGACAUGCAGCACAUCUAAGAUCUGCCAUAAAGAGAAUAACUCAGGAACAUCACAUAAGGCUUCCCACUCUCGUCGAGACCUCUUUCAUGCUCCUUCAAGCAGGCUGUCAUUAAUGCCACGGGGUUGGCUUCCCCGUACGGCUGCUUGUGGGGAUCGGAGCCAACUCAUCACACCAGGAGAGCUUCAUUAGGGCUGAAGCUGGCUGGACGGAGGACAAGUGAGGCUGCAAAACACGCGCUCGACAAGAGCGUGCAUCGCCGCGACACCUUCGUCCCUCGCCGUCUUGCACGCCGGCUCGUCAGUUAAUUAUGUUCUAGACAAAUUAGGAAUAACUCUGUGUUUUCCUCACGGUAUUCAAAUUUGAUUAGGGACAUUCCUCAAAGCCUUAAAAGAGAAUAAAAAAAAAAAUAACAGCUUUUUUUUAAUUGAUCAAAAGAUUGAAGUACACGUUUAACUUUUACUGGUGAAUACGUGAUAUAUACCAACUUUGUUACCUUUACAAGAACACAUUCUUUAUUUUUAUCUCUCCCAGUGGUAAUUAUGCAUUGUAAACAUUCAAUCUCAGGAUCAGUAAUUGCUAAAACAACAAAAUAGGCAGGAUUAUUGGAGAACUGCACUUUAUUUUGGAAUGUUGCCUUGCAUUCACAAUCAUUAUGUACAA